CCCCUAUGUUCUAUUUUUAGCCAUGGCUGACAUCUUGGUUGGUUGGCCGGGUCAUGCCACACAUUUUUUAAACUAGAUACCCCAAAGAUGAUUGUGGCCAAGUUUGGAUUAAUUUGGCCCAGUAGUUUCAGAGGAGAAGAUUUUUGUAAAAGAUUACUAAGAUUUACGAAAAAUGGUUAAAAAUUUACUAUAAAGGGCAAUAACUCCUAAAGGGGUCAACUGACCAUUUUGGUCAUGUUGACUUAUUUGUAAAUCUUACUUUGCUGAACAUUAUUGUUGUUUACAGUUUAUCUCUAUCUAUAAUAAUAUUCAAG
This 314-nucleotide long non-coding RNA is filed under the name Mytilus galloprovincialis (Mediterranean mussel). The record is from RNAcentral. Lineage: Eukaryota; Metazoa; Mollusca; Bivalvia; Mytilida; Mytilidae.